RNAcentral lists this ribosomal RNA (253 nucleotides) under uncultured bacterium. RNAcentral's name for it is "partial 16S ribosomal RNA". It matches the Rfam family "Bacterial small subunit ribosomal RNA", at positions 524 to 776 of the family's 1533-position model. The record is from RNAcentral.
UACGGAGGAGGCAAGCGUUAUCCGGAAUUAUUGGGCGUAAAGCGUCCGCAGGCGGCGAUUCAAGUCUGCGGUUAAAGACUGGGGCUUAACCCUGGAAAGGCCGUGGAAACUGAAACGCUAGAGUGCAGUAGGGGUAGAGGGAAUUCCCGGUGUAGCGGUGAAAUGCGUAGAGCUCGGGAAGAACAUCGGUGGCGAAAGCGCUCUGCUGGACUGCAACUGACGCUCAGGGACGAAAGCGAGGGGAGCGAAUGGG